RNAcentral lists this ribosomal RNA (262 nucleotides) under uncultured prokaryote. RNAcentral describes it as "partial 16S ribosomal RNA". It matches the Rfam family "Bacterial small subunit ribosomal RNA", at positions 524 to 784 of the family's 1533-position model. The record is from RNAcentral.
UACGUAGGUGGCAAGCGUUAUCCGGAAUUAUUGGGCGUAAAGAGCGCGCAGGUGGUUGAUUAAGUCUGAUGUGAAAGCCCACGGCUUAACCGUGGAGGGUCAUUGGAAACUGGUCGACUUGAGUGCAGAAGAGGGAAGUGGAAUUCCAUGUGUAGCGGUGAAAUGCGUAGAGAUAUGGAGGAACACCAGUGGCGAAGGCGGCUAUCUGGACAGUAACUGACGCUGAGGCGCGAAAGCGUGGGGAGCAAACAGGGAUUAGAUA